GAUAAACGCUGGCGGCGUGCCUAACACAUGCAAGUCGAACGCCCUGGAGCAAUUCAGGGAGUGGCGGACGGGUGAGGAACACGUGGGUUAUCUGCCUUGAGGUGAGGAAUACCGGCGAGAAAUCGCCGACAAUACCGCAUAGGUUCGUAAGAACAAAGUCGCAAGACGCCUUGAGAUGAGCCUGCGUCCGAUUAGCCAGUUGGUGGGGUAAUGGCCUACCAAAGCAGCGAUCGGUAGCUGGUCUGAGAGGACGAUCAGCCACACUGGGAUUGAGAACGGCCCAGACUCC
RNAcentral lists this ribosomal RNA (289 nucleotides) under uncultured bacterium. Its description in RNAcentral is "partial 16S ribosomal RNA". It matches the Rfam family "Bacterial small subunit ribosomal RNA", at positions 28 to 339 of the family's 1533-position model. The record is from RNAcentral.